This is a long non-coding RNA of Prionailurus viverrinus (fishing cat), 1011 nucleotides long. RefSeq lists it as uncharacterized. The transcript has 3 exons. The record is from RefSeq and is a predicted model, not a curated record. NCBI's taxonomy places the organism in Eukaryota, Metazoa, Chordata, Mammalia, Carnivora, Felidae.
AAGCCCGCGCCCGCCGUCGAGGGACGACCCGGAGCAGGUGAAGAAACUGAGGCUGGAGAAAUUAAGUUCCUUGAUUAGGACAUCUCUACUUAAUCUUACUGGAAUCCAGUGCACACUUGAAACAGUGCAAAAACAAUGGAGAUAUUUGCCUGCUAUAGCAAUAGAGGAAGCCAGAAGACAAUGAAGCAAUGCCUUCAAAAUUCUGAAAGAAAAUUAUUUUCAAGAAUUAUAUACCCAGCCAAACUGUCAAUUAAGAGUGAAGGUAGAAGAGAGACAUUUCAGACAUGUAAAAAUCUCACAAACAAUGUAUUUCAAUUCACCUUUUCUCAGGAAGAGAGAGAGGAAGCCAAGAAAGAGAAAGACAUGUGACCUUGGGAGAUAAAGAUGUAGCACAGGGAAAAGGAAAAGGAGAUUCCUAAUUGACAGUGAAGAGAGAUCCAAAGGAGAUGGCUAUGUGGCAGGCCAAAAGGCCAUAGUCUCCAUAGGAUCUGGUUAGAGCAUUCAAAGAGACUUCAAGAAAAUCAAAGUCAUUUAGUAUUAUCAAGAAAAUAGAAAACAACCCUAGUUAGUGAGUUAAUAAGGAAGCCAUGAAAAACUAAAUGAACAAAUUACAAAUUUCAAGGAAAACGGAAUGUGCAGGAAAGGUAAAGGAUAAUAUAGUAUGUGGCUUAACUGUGACUGAUAUUUAGUAAUGAUAAUAAUAUAAACAUUGAAUAUUAAGCUAGCUGAAAUUAUAACUGCACUAAUAAGAUAGGAGGAUAGUGACUGGUGAGGGCCGAGCUAAAUUCCCAUCUACUAAAGUAAAAAAUCAAUAGAUAAUGCCUAAAACUGAAAACUCAAGAAAACACCUAAAAUUGAAAACUCACAAAGUAGCAAUAUAAGCAUGUUGUAAGAGAUAUUAAGAGUUAAGAUGACACCAAAAACCAUAAAAUACCUGGGAAUAAAUCUAACCAAAGAGGUGAAAAAUCUAUACGCUGAAAACUGUAGAAAGCUUAUGAAAGAAAUUGAAGA